Molecule: ribosomal RNA, 253 nt
Filed under: uncultured bacterium
Lineage: Bacteria
Description: partial 16S ribosomal RNA
Rfam family: Bacterial small subunit ribosomal RNA
Source: RNAcentral
UACAGAGGUCCCAAGCGUUGUUCGGAUUCAUUGGGCGUAAAGGGCUCGUAGGCGGUCCAUCGCGUCGGGAGUGAAAAGCUGGGGCUUAACCCCAGUCCUGCUUCCGAUACGGGUGGACUAGAGGUAGGUAGGGGAGAACGGAAUUCCUGGUGUAGCGGUGAAAUGCGCAGAUAUCAGGAGGAACACCGGUGGCGAAGGCGGUUCUCUGGGCCUUACCUGACGCUGAGGAGCGAAAGCAUGGGGAGCAAACAGG